RNA transcript from Tripterygium wilfordii, 2157 nucleotides. It is a transcript of the gene named general transcription factor IIE subunit 1-like, with no coding region annotated. The record is from RefSeq and is a predicted model, not a curated record. NCBI's taxonomy places the organism in Eukaryota, Viridiplantae, Streptophyta, Magnoliopsida, Celastrales, Celastraceae. The transcript is spliced from 12 exons.
AAUAAAGUGAAAUAAAUGUGUGUCAGGAAAAUUUUGAAGGCUGCGAAGUACUUAAGAAGUAAACGAUUGCCUUCGGGUUGCCUUUCCAAGCUUUCACAAGUCUCCGCGAACCAUCGGAGAAUAUGCAGUUUCUCUCGGAGCUCGAACUCCGAUGAAAGUUGGCAUCUCCUCCGACUGAAAAACCCGAUAAAAUUUUAUCUCAUGAUGAAUAAUAACGCCCCAAGAAACAUGAGCAUCGAGCCGUUCAAUCGGCUGGUGAAGCUUGCGGCUAGGGCCUUUUACGACGACAUAUCAACGAAAGGUGACAAUCAACCGAAAACUGGCCGGAGCGACAACCGAGGGAUUGCCGUGGUCGUGCUCGACGCUCUCACAAGACGGGCGUGGGUUAGAGAAGAAGAUUUGGCUAAGGAUUUGAAAUUACACUCAAAGCAACUUCGUCGGACUCUUCGUUUUUUCGAAGAAGAAAAACUAGUCACUCGAGACCAUAGGAAAGAGACUGCUAGAGGUGCAAAGCAAUAUAGUGCUGCAGUAGCUGCCACCUCUGAUGGACAUUUUGGAAAAGAAGGAGAUGAAAAGGUUAAGCUGCACACACACUCUUACUGCUGCCUAGAUUAUGCACAGAUAUAUGAUGUUGUUAGGUAUAGACUGAACCGAAUGAAGAAAAAACUGAAAGAUGAAUUGGAGGACAAGAACACUAUUCAGGAGUAUAUUUGCCCUAACUGUGGGAGAAGAUAUAAUGCUUUGGAUGCGCUGCAAUUGGUUUCGAUGGAGGAUGAGUACUUUCACUGUGAAAAUUGCAAUGGCGAACUUGUUGCAGAGAGUGACAAGUUGGCUGCUCAAGAAGUAGGAGAUGCUGAUGACAAUGUGAGGAGGCGGCGUCGUGAAAAAUUAAGGGACAUGCUGCAAAAGAUGGAGGUCCAGCUUAAGCCAUUAAUGGAACAACUGAGCAGAGUUAAAGAUUUAACUGCUCCUGAAUUUGGAAGUCUCCAAGCAUGGAGAGCUCGGGCAAGCGCUGCUGGGCGUGCAGCAAAUGGUGAUUCCAUUUCCAAUGAUCCUUCCAAGUCUUCACAGGGGCUUGGUUUUGGUGGAACACCAAUGCCAUUCCUUGGAGAGACAAAGGUUGAAGUUGCCUUUUCUGGUGGAGAAGGCAAGGAAGAAGAUGUCAAAUCUGAGAUUGCAAAUACUGGUCUGAAAGUUUUGCCACCAUGGAUGAUCAAGCAAGGGAUGAACCUUACAAUGGAGCAACGUGGAGAACUGAAGCAUGAAUCAAAAAUGGAUGGCGACCCAGCAGCUGUCAGAUUUUCUGAUGACAAAAAGUCAACCAGUGAAAAUGAUGAUCAGAAGACAUUACAGGAUGAGUAUUUUAAAGCCUAUUAUGCUGCUUAUUUCAUGCAGCACCAAAAACUAGAAGAUACUAAGAGAGAACAAGAGUCGUCAAACACACCCAUCUCCUAUGACCCUUCUAGUACAUCUUCUAAUCGCCAAGUGGGCAUGAAGAGUAAACGUGAAGAGGAUGAACGCGAAGACAAUGUUGACUGGGAAGAGGCUUCAAUUUCUGGCAAUACAUCUGAAAAUUACAAGGUCAAUGACUUGAAUGCUGAAGCAGAUGCCACUGGAGAGGAUGAGGAUGAUGUGGACUGGGAAGAAGGAUGAAGAACAACGAUUUCAUACCAACUGCAUUACUGUGCUCGUGAUAUCGUGAAUAUUUAGUGACAUGACAUGUGUGCUGAAACAAAAGGGAAAUCAGAAUUUUGUUAGUAAUAUUCACAGGGAGCCUGGUAUGCUGAUAGAGAGAAGAUUAUGACACCAUCAGCAGUGGUUAUCGAUUAAUGGCAACGAUCUACUCAGUUUUCUGAGUUCCCAUGGUUUGUGUUUGGGUUAGCAUGGCACUGUUGGUAAAAGCUUCCUAGUAGAAUUGUAGCAUGUACAUUUUAUGGUUGUACUAUUAGUAAAAAAAAUAAAAAUAAAUUGUUGGUGGCUGUCAUGAUAGACCCAUAGUUGUGGUGGUGAUAUAAACCUCUGCAUAUUUAUGUCCUUACAGCCUGUUCGCAUUUUGGAAACCUUUUGUCGUUUCCUGCUUCAGACAUCCAGAAUCAUUUGGAUCUCUUAAGUUUUUAAGAUUUGGUGUUGAUAAUGAUGAUAGCUUAUCUUCGGGUU